This 75-nucleotide transfer RNA is filed under the name Rikenella microfusus. RNAcentral describes it as "tRNA-Asn(gtt)". It matches the Rfam family "tRNA". From Rfam's summary of the family: Transfer RNA (tRNA) molecules are approximately 80 nucleotides in length. The record is from RNAcentral. Lineage: Bacteria; Pseudomonadati; Bacteroidota; Bacteroidia; Bacteroidales; Rikenellaceae.
UCCUCGAUAGCUCAGUUGGUUAGAGCACCUGACUGUUAAUCAGGGGGUCCUAGGUUCAAGUCCUAGUCGAGGAGC